Molecule: long non-coding RNA, 309 nt
Filed under: Chinchilla lanigera (long-tailed chinchilla)
Lineage: Eukaryota; Metazoa; Chordata; Mammalia; Rodentia; Chinchillidae
Description: lncRNA (ENSCLAG00000026001.1)
Source: RNAcentral
UUCAGUUGCAGCACUUUGUUUGACAGUUAUGAAUAUCUCUAUGACUUGUGAGUACAGGACACCCCCACUUCAUGAUACUCCAUAAGGUGCAUGAUUCAGCAGACAUUCGAAGAUCUGGUACCUCUGUGACUAAGGACCUAAAGGUUACGUUCUUAAGAGAAUAAUUUAUCAGAUCAUUGCUCUAAUGUGAAUCUUCCCCUAGGAGAGAUUCAUACUUGGUCUAUACUAAUUCACUUUUGUGACACUAAAGUUAUUGGUUGUCUCUGCUGCCAACUAAAAGUAGAACCAAAUAACAACAUGAUACAGGAA